UUAAGUUAGAAAGGGCGCACGGUGGAUGCCUUGACACUAGGAGUCGAUGAAGGACGGGACUAACGCCGAUAUGCUUCGGGGAGCUGUAAGUAAGCUUUGAUCCGAAGAUUUCCGAAUGGGGAAACCCACCAUACGUAAUGGUAUGGUAUCCUUAUCUGAAUACAUAGGGUAAGGAAGACAGACCCAGGGAACUGAAACAUCUAAGUACCUGGAGGAAGAGAAAGCAAAUGCGAUUUCCUGAGUAGCGGCGAGCGAAACGGAACAUAGCCCAAACCAAGAGGCUUGCCUCUUGGGGUUGUAGGACAUUCUAUACGGAGUUACAAAGGAACGAGGUAGACGAAGCGACCUGGAAAGGUCCGUCGUAGAGGGUAACAACCCCGUAGUCGAAACUUCGUUCUCUCUUGAAUGUAUCCUGAGUACGGCGGAACACGUGAAAUUCCGUCGGAAUCUGGGAGGACCAUCUCCCAAGGCUAAAUACUCCCUAGUGAUCGAUAGUGAACCAGUACCGUGAGGGAAAGGUGAAAAGCACCCCGGAAGGGGAGUGAAAGAGAUCCUGAAACCGUGUGCCUACAAAUAGUCAGAGCCCGUUAACGGGUGAUGGCGUGCCUUUUGUAGAAUGAACCGGCGAGUUACGAUCCCGUGCGAGGUUAAGCUGAAGAGGCGGAGCCGCAGCGAAAGCGAGUCUGAAUAGGGCGUUUAGUACGUGGUCGUAGACCCGAAACCAGGUGAUCUACCCAUGUCCAGGGUGAAGUUCAGGUAACACUGAAUGGAGGCCCGAACCCACGCACGUUGAAAAGUGCGGGGAUGAGGUGUGGGUAGCGGAGAAAUUCCAAUCGAACCUGGAGAUAGCUGGUUCUCCCCGAAAUAGCUUUAGGGCUAGCCUUAAGUGUAAGAGUCUUGGAGGUAGAGCACUGAUUGGACUAGGGGUCCUCAUCGGAUUACCGAAUUCAGUCAAACUCCGAAUGCCAAUGACUUAUCCUUAGGAGUCAGACUGCGAGUGAUAAGAUCCGUAGUCAAAAGGGAAACAGCCCAGACCGCCAGCUAAGGUCCCAAAGUGUGUAUUAAGUGGAAAAGGAUGUGGAGUUGCUUAGACAACUAGGAUGUUGGCUUAGAAGCAGCCACCAUUUAAAGAGUGCGUAAUAGCUCACUAGUCGAGUGACUCUGCGCCGAAAAUGUACCGGGGCUAAAUACACCACCGAAGCUGCGGAUUGAUACCAAUGGUAUCAGUGGUAGGGGAGCGUUCUAAGGACAGUGAAGUCAGACCGGAAGGACUGGUGGAGUGCUUAGAAGUGAGAAUGCCGGUAUGAGUAGCGAAAGACGGGUGAGAAUCCCGUCCACCGAAUGCCUAAGGUUUCCUGAGGAAGGCUCGUCCGCUCAGGGUUAGUCAGGACCUAAGCCGAGGCCGACAGGCGUAGGCGAUGGACAACAGGUUGAUAUUCCUGUACCACCUCUUUAUCGUUUGAGCAAUGGAGGGACGCAGAAGGAUAGAAGAAGCGUGCGAUUGGUUGUGCACGUCCAAGCAGUUAGGCUGAUAAGUAGGCAAAUCCGCUUAUCGUGAAGGCUGAGCUGUGAUGGGGAAGCUCCUUAUGGAGCGAAGUCUUUGAUUCCCCGCUGCCAAGAAAAGCUUCUAGCGAGAUAAAAGGUGCCUGUACCGCAAACCGACACAGGUAGGCGAGGAGAGAAUCCUAAGGUGUGCGAGAGAACUCUGGUUAAGGAACUCGGCAAAAUGACCCCGUAACUUCGGGAGAAGGGGUGCUUUCUUAACGGAAAGCCGCAGUGAAUAGGCCCAAGCGACUGUUUAGCAAAAACACAGCUCUCUGCGAAGCCGUAAGGCGAAGUAUAGGGGGUGACACCUGCCCGGUGCUGGAAGGUUAAGGAGAGGGGUUAGCGUAAGCGAAGCUCUGAACUGAAGCCCCAGUAAACGGCGGCCGUAACUAUAACGGUCCUAAGGUAGCGAAAUUCCUUGUCGGGUAAGUUCCGACCCGCACGAAAGGUGUAACGAUUUGGGCACUGUCUCAACCAGAGACUCGGUGAAAUUAUAGUACCUGUGAAGAUGCAGGUUACCCGCGACAGGACGGAAAGACCCCGUGGAGCUUUACUGUAGCCUGAUAUUGAAUUUUGGUACAGUUUGUACAGGAUAGGCGGGAGCCUUUGAAACCGGAGCGCUAGCUUCGGUGGAGGCGCUGGUGGGAUACCGCCCUGACUGUAUUGAAAUUCUAACCUACGGGUCUUAUCGACCCGGGAGACAGUGUCAGGUGGGCAGUUUGACUGGGGCGGUCGCCUCCUAAAGUGUAACGGAGGCGCCCAAAGGUUCCCUCAGAAUGGUUGGAAAUCAUUCGUAGAGUGCAAAGGCAUAAGGGAGCUUGACUGCGAGACCUACAAGUCGAGCAGGGACGAAAGUCGGGCUUAGUGAUCCGGUGGUUCCGCAUGGAAGGGCCAUCGCUCAACGGAUAAAAGCUACCCCGGGGAUAACAGGCUUAUCUCCCCCAAGAGUCCACAUCGACGGGGAGGUUUGGCACCUCGAUGUCGGCUCAUCGCAUCCUGGGGCUGUAGUCGGUCCCAAGGGUUGGGCUGUUCGCCCAUUAAAGCGGUACGCGAGCUGGGUUCAGAACGUCGUGAGACAGUUCGGUCCCUAUCCGUCGUGGGCGUAGGAAAUUUGAGAGGAGCUGUCCUUAGUACGAGAGGACCGGGAUGGACGCACCGCUGGUGUACCAGUUGUUCUGCCAAGGGCAUAGCUGGGUAGCUAUGUGCGGAAGGGAUAAGUGCUGAAAGCAUCUAAGCAUGAAGCCCCCCUCAAGAUGAGAUUUCCCAUAGCGUAAGCUAGUAAGAUCCCUGAAAGAUGAUCAGGUUGAUAGGUUCGAGGUGGAAGCAUGGUGACAUGUGGAGCUGACGAAUACUAAUAGAUCGAGGACUUAACCA
RNAcentral lists this ribosomal RNA (2919 nucleotides) under Bacillus anthracis (anthrax bacterium). Its description in RNAcentral is "bacterial LSU rRNA". It matches the Rfam family "Bacterial large subunit ribosomal RNA". Lineage: Bacteria; Bacillati; Bacillota; Bacilli; Caryophanales; Bacillaceae. RNAcentral also lists the same sequence under 1 other name. The record is from RNAcentral.